This 500-nucleotide ribosomal RNA is filed under the name uncultured bacterium. RNAcentral describes it as "partial 16S ribosomal RNA". It matches the Rfam family "Bacterial small subunit ribosomal RNA", at positions 30 to 523 of the family's 1533-position model. The record is from RNAcentral.
AUUGAACGCUGGCGGCAUGCUUUACACAUGCAAGUCGAACGGUAACAGGGUGCUUGCACCGCUGACGAGUGGCGAACGGGUGAGUAAUGCGUCGGAACGCACCGAGUAAUGGGGGAUAACGCAGCGAAAGCUGUGCUAAUACCGCAUACGCUCUGAGGAGGAAAGCGGGGGACCUUCGGGCCUCGCGUUAUUCGAGCGGCCGACGUCUGAUUAGCUAGUAGGUGAGGUAAGAGCUCACCUAGGCGACGAUCAGUAGCGGGUCUGAGAGGAUGAUCCGCCACACUGGGACUGAGACACGGCCCAGACGCCUACGGGAGGCAGCAGUGGGGAAUUUUGGACAAUGGGCGCAAGCCUGAGCCAGCCAUGCCGCGUGUCUGAAGAAGGCCUUCGGGUUGUAAAGGACUUUUGUCAGGGAGGAAGUCCUUAGCGCUAAUACCGUUGAGGGAUGACAGUACCUGAAGAAUAAGCACCGGCUAACUACGUGCCAGCCGCCGCGGUAA